UGGUGGAGGGCUGUGCUGUGGUGCUGUCUGCUAUGUGUCAGAUGUGGUGUCCUCAGGAAAGCAGGGCUUUUGCCUGAGCCCUGCAGGCAGUGACAGGGUGGUUUUUGCCUUUGAUUCAGACCACAUUGUGCAACACAUCAUUGGACAACCCAACCCAGAGAAACAAGGAUCAGCUGAUCCGGGCAGCCGUGAAGUUUCUGGACACCGACACCAUCUGCUACAGGGUGGAGGAGCCCGAGACAUUAGUGGAACUUCAAAGGAAUGAGUGGGAUCCAAUCAUCGAAUGGGCUGAGAAAAGAUACGGCGUGGAGAUCAGCUCCUCCACCAGCAUAAUGGGACCCAGCAUCCCUGCCAAGACUCGGGAGGUGCUCGUCAGCCACCUGGCAUCUUACAACACAUGGGCUUUACAAGGGAUUGAGUUUGUAGCUGCCCAGCUCAAGUCCAUGGUGCUGACCUUGGGCCUGAUUGACAUGCGCCUGACAGUGGAGCAGGCCGUGCUGCUGUCACGCCUGGAGGAGGAGUACCAGAAAUCAAAAUCAAGGACCAGCAGAAGUAUUGUCAAGUAGGCCUGGCAUGGUGGUUCACACCUGUAAUCCCAGCACUUUGGGUGGCUGAGGAGGAUGGAUCAUUCGAGGUCAGGAGUUUGAGACCAGCCUGGGCAACAUGGCAAAACCCUCUCUCUACAAAAAUACAAAAAUUAGCACCUGUAGUCUCAGCUACUUGGGAAGCUGACGUGGGAGGAUUGCUUGAACCUGGGAGGUGGAGGUUGCAGUGAGCCAAGAUUGUGCCACUGCAU
This 796-nucleotide small RNA is filed under the name Pan troglodytes (chimpanzee). Its description in RNAcentral is "retained intron". Lineage: Eukaryota; Metazoa; Chordata; Mammalia; Primates; Hominidae. The record is from RNAcentral.